ACUGCUGUGUUACCGGAAUAGCCCUCAUCCAGCCAACAAAUUAUUAAAAGAAAGGCAGUGCAAACACGUUGGUGUUCUCUAAAGGACUGCUACAUUCGGGAGUUGCGCCAAAUAAGAGAUGUUGGAAGAAGUGGAAGUUCGCCAUCUAAGCGCAAACAAUACAUUUAUUUUGAUCAACUUGAUUUUUUGCGACCAGUACUGGAAACAAGAAGUACCAGCGGGAAUCUCCAAAGAUCCAGUGGUCCAGAACCUGACCAUGACAGCUCAGAUGCACCACCAGAGUCAACAGCUAAAGCGACAACUGAAAUAUCCACUGAGGCCCCUUCUUGCUAGUUCUCUACGAUGAUGAAG
Long non-coding RNA from Bufo bufo (common toad), 351 nucleotides. RefSeq lists it as uncharacterized. The transcript is spliced from 3 exons. NCBI's taxonomy places the organism in Eukaryota, Metazoa, Chordata, Amphibia, Anura, Bufonidae. The record is from RefSeq and is a predicted model, not a curated record.